UACAGAGGGUGCAAGCGUUGUUCGGAAUUACUGGGCGUAAAGCGCGUGUAGGCGGUUCGAUAAGUCAGAUGUGAAAUCCCUAGGCUUAACCAAGGAACUGCAUUUGAAACUGUCAAACUAGAGUGUCGGAGGGGGUGGCGGAAUUCCCGGUGUAGAGGUGAAAUUCGUAGAUAUCGGGAGGAACACCUGUGGCGAAGGCGGCCACCUGGAAGACAACUGACGCUGAGACGCGAAAGCGUGGGUAGCAAACAGG
Molecule: ribosomal RNA, 253 nt
Filed under: uncultured bacterium
Lineage: Bacteria
Description: partial 16S ribosomal RNA
Rfam family: Bacterial small subunit ribosomal RNA
Source: RNAcentral